RNAcentral lists this unclassified non-coding RNA (278 nucleotides) under fungal sp. RNAcentral describes it as "partial internal transcribed spacer region". The stretch from base 1 to 46 matches the Rfam family "Eukaryotic small subunit ribosomal RNA", at positions 1786 to 1831 of the family's 1831-position model. RNAcentral also lists the same sequence under 1 other name. Lineage: Eukaryota; Fungi. The record is from RNAcentral.
AAGUCGUAACAAGGUUUCCGUAGGUGAACCUGCGGAAGGAUCAUUAACGAGUUUACUGAGUUGUCGCUGCCCUCUCGGGGGAUGUGCACGCUCUUUUUCACUCAUCUAUACACCUGUGCACCUAUGCGAGUCAAUGGGGGAUUAGCGAAAGAGACCUGCAAAGGUUUCGACUAGCGUUCUCUGUCGGCUCGAUUUUUUAUAAACUCUUGUAUGUCUUAGAAUGUCUACUUUGCUUAACGCAAUAAAUACAACUUUCAACAACGGAUCUCUUGGCUCUC